RNAcentral lists this ribosomal RNA (274 nucleotides) under uncultured bacterium. RNAcentral describes it as "partial 16S ribosomal RNA". It matches the Rfam family "Archaeal small subunit ribosomal RNA", at positions 473 to 747 of the family's 1478-position model. The record is from RNAcentral.
AAACCAGCACCUCAAGUGGUCAGGAGGAUUAUUGGGCCUAAAGCAUCCGUAGCCGGCUCUGUAAGUUUUCGGUUAAAUCUGUACGCUUAACGUACAGGCUGCCGGAAAUACUGCAGAGCUAGGGAGUGGGAGAGGUAGACGGUACUCGGGAGGAAGUGGUAAAAUGCUUUGAUCUCUCGAUGACCACCUGUGGCGAAGGCGGUCUACCAGAACACGUCCGACGGUGAGGGAUGAAAGCUGGGGGAGCAAACCGGAUUAGAAACCCCGGUAGUCC